This 332-nucleotide ribosomal RNA is filed under the name Ctenophora environmental sample. RNAcentral's name for it is "partial Bacterial large subunit ribosomal RNA". It matches the Rfam family "Bacterial large subunit ribosomal RNA", at positions 1463 to 1793 of the family's 2925-position model. Lineage: Eukaryota; Metazoa; Ctenophora. The record is from RNAcentral.
GUUUGAGUGACGCAUAGGGGGAAUCCCUGCCGGGCGUUGGUUGUCCCGGUUCAAGCGGUAAGGUGUUGAAUCUCGCAGGCAAAUCCGCGAGAUGAGCUGAGCCGCGAAGAGUAGUGAUCCUACGGGUGAACGAAGAGGGUGGACUCGUCGUGCCGAGAAAGAGCUUCUAAGGUUAGGUUAUCAGGAACCGUACCGCAAACCGACACAGGUAGGCGAGCUGAGAAUGCUAAGGCGUACGGAAGAACUCACGUUAAGGAACUCGGCAAAUUACAUACGUAACUUAGGGAGAAGUAUGGCCUCCUUCGAGAGAAGAGGUUGCAGAGACCAGGCCU